This 459-nucleotide ribosomal RNA is filed under the name uncultured bacterium. Its description in RNAcentral is "partial 16S ribosomal RNA". It matches the Rfam family "Bacterial small subunit ribosomal RNA", at positions 339 to 795 of the family's 1533-position model. The record is from RNAcentral.
CUACGGGGUGCUGCAGUGAGGAAUAUUGGUCAAUGGGCGCGAGCCUGAACCAGCCAUCCCGCGUGCAGGAUGACGGCCCUAUGGGUUGUAAACUGCUUUUCUAUGCCAAGAAACCUGAUUACGUGUAAUCAGUUGCCGGUAGCAUAGGAAUAAGCAUCGGCUAACUCCGUGCCAGCAGCCGCGGUAAUACGGAGGAUGCAAGCGUUAUCCGGAUUCAUUGGGUUUAAAGGGUGCGCAGGUGGGCUUGUAAGUCGGUGGUGAAAUGCUGCCGCUUAACGGUAGAACUGCCAUUGAUACUGCGAGUCUUGAGUAUGGUUGAGGUAGGCGGAAUGUGUUGUGUAGCGGUGAAAUGCAUAGAUAUGACACAGAACGCCAAUUGCGAAGGCAGCUUACUAAGCCAUUACUGACGCUGAGGCACGAAAGCGUGGGGAGCGAACAGGAUUAGAUACCCUGGUAGUC